This 617-nucleotide ribosomal RNA is filed under the name uncultured fungus. RNAcentral describes it as "eukaryotic LSU rRNA". It matches the Rfam family "Eukaryotic large subunit ribosomal RNA", at positions 24 to 664 of the family's 3401-position model. Lineage: Eukaryota; Fungi. The record is from RNAcentral.
CCCGCUGAACUUAAGCAUAUCAAUAAGCGGAGGAAAAGAAACCAACAGGGAUUGCCCUAGUAACGGCGAGUGAAGCGGCAACAGCUCAAAUUUGGAAUCUGGCCCUCGGGUCCGAGUUGUAAUUUGUAGAGGAUGCUUUUGGCGCGGUGCCUUCCGAGUUCCCUGGAACGGGACGCCUUAGAGGGUGAGAGCCCCGUACGGUUGGACACCAAGCCUCUGUAAAGCUCCUUCGACGAGUCGAGUAGUUUGGGAAUGCUGCUCUAAAUGGGAGGUAAAUUUCUUCUAAAGCUAAAUAUUGGCCAGAGACCGAUAGCGCACAAGUAGAGUGAUCGAAAGAUGAAAAGCACUUUGAAAAGAGGGUUAAAUAGCACGUGAAAUUGUUGAAAGGGAAGCGUUUGCGACCAGACUUUUUCCUAGCGGAUCAUCCGGUGUUAUCACCGGUGCACUUUGCUAGGUCAAGGCCAGCAUCGGUUUCCGUAGGGGGAUAAAAGCUUGGGGAAUGUAGCUCCCUCGGGAGUGUUAUAGCCCCUCGCAUAAUACCCUUAUGGGGACCGAGGACCGCGCUUUUUGCAAGGAUGCUGGCGUAAUGGUUGUCAACGACCCGUCUUGAAACACGG